This 800-nucleotide ribosomal RNA is filed under the name uncultured Serratia sp. RNAcentral describes it as "bacterial SSU rRNA". It matches the Rfam family "Bacterial small subunit ribosomal RNA", at positions 23 to 811 of the family's 1533-position model. The record is from RNAcentral. Lineage: Bacteria; Pseudomonadati; Pseudomonadota; Gammaproteobacteria; Enterobacterales; Yersiniaceae.
CUCAGAUUGAACGCUGGCGGCAGGCUUAACACAUGCGAGUCGAGCGGUAGCACAGGGGAGCUUGCUCCCCGGGUGACGAGCGGCGGACGGGUGAGUAAUGUCUGGGAAACUGCCUGAUGGAGGGGGAUAACUACUGGAAACGGUAGCUAAUACCGCAUAACGUCGCAAGACCAAAGAGGGGGACCUUCGGGCCUCUUGCCAUCAGAUGUGCCCAGAUGGGAUUAGCUAGUAGGUGGGGUAAUGGCUCACCUAGGCGACGAUCCCUAGCUGGUCUGAGAGGAUGACCAGCCACACUGGAACUGAGACACGGACCAGACUCCUACGGGAGGCAGCAGUGGGGAAUAUUGCACAAUGGGCGCAAGCCUGAUGCAGCCAUGCCGCGUGUGUGAAGAAGGCCUUCGGGUUGUAAAGCACUUUCAGCGAGGAGGAAGGUGGUGAGCUUAAUACGCUCAUCAAUUGACGUUACUCGCAGAAGAAGCACCGGCUAACUCCGUGCCAGCAGCCGCGGUAAUACGGAGGGUGCAAGCGUUAAUCGGAAUUACUGGGCGUAAAGCGCACGCAGGCGGUUUGUUAAGUCAGAUGUGAAAUCCCCGGGCUCAACCUGGGAACUGCAUUUGAAACUGGCAAGCUAGAGUCUCGUAGAGGGGGGUAGAAUUCCAGGUGUAGCGGUGAAAUGCGUAGAAAUCUGGAAGAAUACCGGUGGCCAAAGCGGCCCCCUGAACGAAGACUGACGCUCAGGUGCAAAAGCCUGGGGAGCAAACAAGGAUAGAAUACCCUGGUUAUCCACGCUUUAAAGAUUU